Molecule: ribosomal RNA, 252 nt
Filed under: uncultured bacterium
Lineage: Bacteria
Description: partial 16S ribosomal RNA
Rfam family: Bacterial small subunit ribosomal RNA
Source: RNAcentral
UACAGAGGGUGCGAGCGUUAAUCGGAAUUACUGGGCGUAAAGCGUGCGCAGGCGGUUUUGUAAGCCAGAUGUGAAAGCCCCGGGCUUAACCUGGGAAUGGCCAUGGAAACUGGCGAGCUGGAGUGUGGCAGAGGGGGUGGAAUUCCGCGUGUAGCAGUGAAAUGCGUAGAGAUGCGGAGGAACACCGAUGGCGAAGGCAGCCCCCUGGGUUGACACUGACGCUCAGGCACGAAAGCGUGGGGAGCAAACAGG